Non-coding RNA from Pelobates cultripes (western spadefoot toad), 775 nucleotides. Lineage: Eukaryota; Metazoa; Chordata; Amphibia; Anura; Pelobatidae. The record is from the annotation of a GenBank genome assembly.
UGUGUGUGUGUGUUUUUUUUUUUGUAUUUAAGUUUAUGCCUAAAUUGUAUGCCAGUUAUACAUCUCUAUGCCACUUACGUUUUCUGCUUGAUGCCGUGCUGUAGAUCAGACACCUGGUCAGCUUACCGCAGCAAAACUCUCCUGCCCCCAGGUUCCGUGGUUAAGGAGCCUUAAUACCAUGACAUACCCCCACAAUGCCUCUAGCCACCACAACACACACGCACCCAUGGAAUACAAACCAAACCGGAGAUGUGCUAUGUGUCUUAACUCACCUAACUUGCAAAUGCACACAAGUCACCUUUAAAGCAUAGGUUAACCAUAGCGACAGAGCUUAGAACCGCAGCUGAUCCACCUACAUGUCAGCCUCCCCGCUCACUAGUCUAACACCUGAUAUCACCGAAGAUAUGUCAGCCUGUUACAGCCUGUUACAGUUCCCUACAUAUCUCCAGCCUGUACAAUAUGGACCUAAAUGUAGGUGCUAUGGUUCUUACAUAUACACCUCACCUGCCUGUAGGCUAAAACUUCCCGAAAUUUGAGGCACAACCACUUGCUUGUACCCUACCCUAUCACAUUACUACUAAGCUACCACAAUGUACUAUGUCUGUUGUUAUCACAAAAAAAUGUGCAGUCUAUUCCCUACAACAAAAACUGUGCUAUUAUAUGCCACGUUAUGUUUAUGAUGCCUGUUAUAAGCUUAUGACUGCUAUUGUGGCUGAGUAAGCCUACUGUUAUACCAUGCACAACAGAAAAUAAAGAAUUUUUUUUAAAAAAAGUA